Molecule: ribosomal RNA, 505 nt
Filed under: uncultured bacterium
Lineage: Bacteria
Description: partial 16S ribosomal RNA
Rfam family: Bacterial small subunit ribosomal RNA
Source: RNAcentral
GACGAACGCUGGCGGCGUGCCUAAUACAUGCAAGUAGAACGCACAGUUUAUACCGUAGCUUGCUACACCAUAGACUGUGAGUUGCGAACGGGUGAGUAACGCGUAGGUAACCUGCCUGGUAGCGGGGGAUAACUAUUGGAAACGAUAGCUAAUACCGCAUAAUAUUGAUUAUUGCAUGAUAAUUGAUUGAAAGAUGCUAUUGCAUCACUACAAGAUGGACCUGCGUUGUAUUAGCUAGUAGGUGAGGUAACGGCUCACCUAGGCGACGAUACAUAGCCGACCUGAGAGGGUGAUCGGCCACACUGGGACUGAGACACGGCCCAGACUCCUACGGGAGGCAGCAGUAGGGAAUCUUCGGCAAUGGACGAAAGUCUGACCGAGCAACGCCGCGUGAGUGAAGAAGGUUUUCGGAUCGUAAAGCUCUGUUGUAAGAGAAGAACGGGUGUGAGAGUGGAAAGUUCACACUGUGACGGUAUCUUACCAGAAAGGGACGGCUAACUACGUG